Astatotilapia calliptera (eastern happy) is the source of this 1564-nucleotide long non-coding RNA. The record is from Ensembl. Lineage: Eukaryota; Metazoa; Chordata; Actinopteri; Cichliformes; Cichlidae.
ACUACACAUCUUUGAAGCAGGAGUUGCAAGUUUGAUUCCCACCCAGUAUCCAGUAAUGAUCCUGGCUUCACCCCUCAUGCUAACCAAAAAACCCUGGAAUGGCGUGGCUUUGUCUGCAGCACACACACAAGAACAUUUCACUACACAUCGUUCUCUGUAUGAUACUGUAUAUGUUUGUUGGAGCAUGCAUCAAGACAGUUUAAAAAUUCACAUUUUUAUUUAUUAUGGCAGAAUGAUUGAUAGGACCAGAUGGCCGUGCAGUAUAAAGUGAUCUGGGAGAAACACCACUGUAUAUCAGUGAAGCAGCAACAUGUUUUUGUGGUGUUGCACUUUGUAGACGGUCCCUGAGCACUUCUCUCAAACUCAGCUGCACCUGGAGACAAGCAGGGUUUCUUUCACCUCCACCUUAAUGUUGGGAUUCAGAUGCUGAUGGUGUUCUGAUAACCUUUCUUAUCUGUUAUUGAUCCAGUUCAAAUAUGUGGCAUUAUUUCAAACUUAUGUGGUUCUUUCAAUAAACUCAAACCAAAUGGAGGCUCUGCUCUUUCCACGGUGAAUCACGCACCCACGCCCUGGAGGGUUUAUCAACUUCAAGUUCAGCCUCUGAGCAUGUUGAACCAGUUUACUGGAUCACAGCCCAGCAGGAAAUCCUCUCUGUUCGUUAGCAGUGAGGCAGGAAUGGCAGAGUUUUGAGAUGUGGAUUCACUCAGUUAUGAGCGGAGUGAUCAGGACUCUGUGUUUGCUGUCCUUCUUUGAAGGAUGAUGAAAAACUUGCUGCCGUUCCUGCUCCUCGAACAGUUUCCAUCCUGGGCCACAGCUCUCCUGGUUCUCCUGGUUCUCCUUGUUCUUCUUGUGGUUUCUGGAGGUCUUCUUUUUUAUUUCCGGCACUAUUUCAUGUCAGAUUAUAAGGUGGAGGUGGAUUCAGGGGUGGAGUCUGUCCAGCUGCCCUGCAAAACCACAGUUAACCUGCCUAAAGAUGCUAAAGUGGAGUGGAAGAACAAAAACAACAGGAAGGUCCACGUGUAUCAGAACGGCUCUGACCAGCUUGAAGAACAGCAUAAUUUUUACAGAGGGCGAACAAAGAUGAAGAGAAACUUACUGGAACCUGGAGACCUCAGUCUGAUCCUGAAACCCCCCACAGACACAGACACCUACACCUGCACCGUCUACAACAACAGGGGGGAGAUUCUGAUGAAAAAAGAAGUGCUGCUCAUUGUCAGAGGUCAGUGCUGUAGAUACAGGUCAAAAGUCAGAGAUCAGACUUAUGGAUAAGACAACGACCAAAUCCACCUGAAAAGUCUGCAAAAAGAAUUUUCACCUUUUCACAGUGGGGACUUUGAGUAAGCCCUAGUAAAUAAUUUUAGAGUAUAUGUACUUUACAUAUUCUAAUUUUAAAAUUAUUAUUUUGCUAGCUAGCAAACUCCGCGGAUAAAUUUUUGAAAUGCACUGAGUGUGAUGCAAUACAGCGCUAUUAUAGCAGUUAGUUAUGGCAUAACAGCAAUGUUAGCCAGGUACUUAACUAGCCAACUUAAGGCAUUCUGAUUACAGGCUCAAAGUGAAGUUGUCA